UAGGGAAUUUUCGUCAAUGGGCGCAAGCCUGAACGAGCGAUGCCGCGUGAGUGAAGAAGGCCUCGGUCGUAAGCUCUGUUGCGGGGGAAAAAAGGACAGCAUCAGGAAAUGGGUGCUGACUGAUGGUGCCCCGCCAGAAAGUCACGGCUAACUACGUGCC
RNAcentral lists this ribosomal RNA (160 nucleotides) under uncultured bacterium. RNAcentral's name for it is "partial 16S ribosomal RNA". It matches the Rfam family "Bacterial small subunit ribosomal RNA", at positions 355 to 509 of the family's 1533-position model. The record is from RNAcentral.